This 510-nucleotide ribosomal RNA is filed under the name uncultured bacterium. Its description in RNAcentral is "partial 16S ribosomal RNA". It matches the Rfam family "Bacterial small subunit ribosomal RNA", at positions 28 to 507 of the family's 1533-position model. The record is from RNAcentral.
GACGAACGCUGGCGGCGUGCUUAACACAUGCAAGUCGAACGAAGAGCGAUGGAAGCUUGCCUCUAUCAAUCUUAGUGGCGCACGGGUGAGUAACGCGUAAUCAACCUGCCCUUCAGAGGGGGACAACAGUUGGAAACGACUGCUAAUACCGCAUACGAUCUAAUCUCGGCAUCGAGGAUAGAUGAAAGGUGGCCUCUACAUGUAAGCUAUCACUGAAGGAGGGGAUUGCGUCUGAUUAGCUAGUUGGAGGGGUAACGGCCCACCAAGGCGAUGAUCAGUAGCCGGUCUGAGAGGAUGAACGGCCACAUUGGGACUGAGACACGGCCCAGACUCCUACGGGAGGCAGCAGUGGGGAAUCUUCCGCAAUGGACGAAAGUCUGACGGAGCAACGCCGCGUGAGUGAUGACGGCCUUCGGGUUGUAAAGCUCUGUUAAUCGGGACGAAAGGCCUUCUUGCGAAUAGUGAGAAGGAUUGACGGUACCGGAAGAGAAAGCCACGGCUAACUACGUG